This 497-nucleotide ribosomal RNA is filed under the name uncultured bacterium. RNAcentral's name for it is "partial 16S ribosomal RNA". It matches the Rfam family "Bacterial small subunit ribosomal RNA", at positions 28 to 507 of the family's 1533-position model. The record is from RNAcentral.
GACGAACGCUGGCGGCGUGCCUAAUACAUGCAAGUAGAACGCUGAAGCUUGGUGCUUGCACCGAGCGGCUGAGUUGCGAACGGGUGAGUAACGCGUAGGUAACCUGCCUGGUAGCGGGGGAUAACUAUUGGAAACGAUAGCUAAUACCGCAUAAGAGUAGAUGUUGCAUGACAUUUGCUUAAAAGGUGCAAUUGCAUCACUACCAGAUGGACCCGCGUUGUAUUAGCUAGUUGGUGAGGUAACGGCUCACCAAGGCAACGAUACAUAGCCGACCUGAGAGGGUGAUCGGCCACACUGGGACUGAGACACGGCCCAGACUCCUACGGGAGGCAGCAGUAGGGAAUCUUCGGCAAUGGACGGAAGUCUGACCGAGCAACGCCGCGUGAGUGAAGAAGGUUUUCGGAUCGUAAAGCUCUGUUGUAAGAGAAGAACGAGUAUGAGAGUGGAAAGUUCACACUGUGACGGUAUCUUACCAGAAAGGGACGGCUAACUACGUG